RNAcentral lists this ribosomal RNA (3164 nucleotides) under Triticum aestivum (bread wheat). RNAcentral's name for it is "partial small subunit ribosomal RNA". Lineage: Eukaryota; Viridiplantae; Streptophyta; Magnoliopsida; Poales; Poaceae. The record is from RNAcentral.
GUGAGGAAGGGGUGAGGAGGAGACGGCGGCGGGGGUAGCAGAGUUGGGAGAGAUAAAGGGAUGAAGGAACGGGACGGGCGCGGCGUAGUGGUAGAGGAGGAAGAGGCGACGUGGCGGCGGCAGGACGAGGAAGAGGAGGUGGCUUUGGUUGGCCUCGUGCGGACCUUCGCCUCAUCUAGGGGCAGGCAGAGAGAUGACCUAGACCUAACCGAGGGCACUGAGAAGGAGGGAGACAACUAGGCCGUACCUCGAGUUUGGACUGCAGUCGAACAGCCUCGCCUCGCCGGCACGCCACCGGCCAGAUGAUGUGCCGUGUGACCUCCGUCUUCGCUGCCGUCGUAGUGGGAAAGGAAGGGGCAGGUACUUCAGUCUGGAGAGCGAGCGGGGGAUGCAGGUUUGACAUCUAGGUGGACAAGAACAAAAGGGGGUAAAAAGAAACCUGAUUAGAGUAUCGAAGGCCCAGUCAAGUAGAAGUUAGAAGACAUUGGGGUACUAUUAUAGGUGCUUAGUCAUAGAAUCAACUAAAACCAGAUACCGAUGGAUUAAGAUCUCGAUCUUAUCUUAUCCAACUCCCCUAUCUAGACUGUGACUCAUCCGUUCGUAAAGUCAGAUCCAAUCAGCAACCAAAACCUCGUUUUAUCUCGCGGGGACUUUCUUUACUAGACGUGUGCCCUCUUUUUUUUCCAUAAAGUUUUAUACACUUGUUGUAAAGUAACGUUCCUCUCGCGGUAUAACCAGUCUCACGAUCUCGACGUGAAUAACAAAAGUAAAGGACGAUAGGCUAUACGGUAAUUAGAAUGCAAGAGUUGCAUGUUUACACGAAGUGGUUUAAAAUUUUUAUUAGAACUACCAAUUGUGAAAUUGAACUCCUCUAUAAAGGUAUUCGUACAAAUCAAAAAAGGACACGAUCCGAGAUAAUCGAAUAAGACUUAGACUUGUACUGUACUACUUGGUGACCUUACAUUAGUCUGGUAAAAGAGAGAGAUACACACACACAUUGUUCAAGGAAACUAACUAACAGUAUGAAGAGUGUGUGUGCCUGACCUAGGGCCGACGCUCCCGUUGGAGAUCGGAGACGUAGAAGGAGGGACUGCCAUCGCCGGAUUGUGCGUACCUGACUUCACAACCAGUCCACGGGUGUUGAGCCGAGAAGUACGAACUCUAAAACACGAAGAGACUAGACCAAAAUCAUUCAACAUUUUCCGGUAUCGACCAAGAGUUCCUUCUCGGAAGUGGAGUACCGACUUAUAACCCAUUUUAACGCCCGUAUGUUUAAUGUAGAAAAAAAACAACGGAAUAUUUGUACCAACAUUUGUUUGACUUAUAACCGUUUGUUUGACAUACAGGUAAGAUUGAGACUAUAAAGACUUUCACUUUCCCUCCAUCCUAUCGCAUCUCUCGUCUCUUGUGUGUUCAAUACAACUUUUAAAACCGGCUUCAAUGUCACGUAAUCGAUCAUAUUUAUAUCGUGUUGAUCGUACGGAUCUACGUCUGCUGCAACUACCAUUCUAUACGAACUGUUGAUUGUUUGUACUAGUAUAAUAAGUAAAGUAUUUACAUCUGUUUUUUAUAGAGAAACAAAACUGUAUUUUUGUUAGGUUAAAUAGAAGAGCGAAUACAAAACCUAAAGUGAUACUGGACUGAGAGAAAGAAACUAAAAAAAUGUGCUGAACAACGGAUAUCCACAUCUACGACUUUGGAAGGAUGUCAUCCACACGGAAAGUGUACAAACAACUCUACAAACUAUUAAAAAACCGGACUACGUUAUUGUAGUUUUGUCCAAUCACUAACGAUGAUGUACCGCAUGUACGUUCACGGGACUAUUUAAAAAACCGGAAUACGUUAUUGUAGUUUUGUCGAAUCAAACAGCAUGAAUUAAUUAAACACGUACUUCAUAAGAUCAAACGUUUUUAAUUACAACGAAGAAUGACAAUACAUAUACGCACAUCAUCAAGUUCGAACGUAUGUGAUUGAUUCUAGUGUUCUUUCUAUCUGUAUGAAGAUAAAACGUUAUUUCUACAAUUUAUACUUUAAAAACCUCCUAUACACGAUCCUAAAAUAUCAAUUCGUCACAAAAGACAAAGUACGACUAUGGAAAAACCGAGGGGAUCUAACUCGUAUAGAUUUUACGUUAGACAUGUUCUACUUGGUUACUUUUUUUUUCCUUGAAGUUUGAGAUCGAACAUGGAAUUAUUGGAACGUAACGAAUCUAUGUGAUGAUCUCACCAGCAGUGGAGGAUAAGUAAACAAGACUAAACCGAACAUGUAAUUAUUGGGACUUCAUUAAAAAUUCGGUACGUAUCUAAUUAAACAUCAAGAGCACGUUCGACAAUCCAAAGGAUCUGUACGUGUUCGGAACAAGGAUGGCAACAGUGGGUCAUUUGUAUAUAUGACCAAGUCAAAUAAAGUAAAGUAAUAAAAAAGGAUAAUAUCUAUUAUGAUGAUACAAACAUUUCACCCGUCGUUAAACGUCGUAUUGGUAAUUUAGAAUACCGCGAUGAGCAACUGGGCCAACCGCAUUUGUAGUGUCGUUACUAUAACAAACAAUCACUACGGUAAAACAACCGUACAAUACCGGAGUUGAUCAUGAUGAUAUCAUGAACUCAAGACCCUACAUACAAAACAAAGAAACAGUAAACUGAAAGUAAACUGUACGAAAAGAAACCUAAUUAAAAGCAGGAGUACAAAUGAGAACAAAAUAUCAUCUACGUUUCAAUAAGAGUAAACAUCCGUGAUAUUCUAGAUUCUUAAAACCUGUUGUACAUCAAGUAAAAAUUGAAACAACAUUAAGAGAAAAAAGAUACUUGAUGAGUAUAUACGUUUAUAGAUUAUUCCAAGGAGAUUUAUACGAUCCAUUCUAAUCCAUCGCUCGAUGAACCACAACGGUAGUGUUAGUCGGUGCUGUACAAUCAACGGUAUCCUCCCGACUCCUCCCGGCUGCUGUUCUUGUACUUAUUGUUGGAGUUAUCAAGUAUACAAUACAACUACAUUUUACCUAACAUUACCAAGGAUUGAAACGUCACUCCUAAAACAUUUGACGAUACAACAUCUAUGUAUAUCUACCGACGUUCGACAUAAUUGACACAUUACAAGACUAUGAAACUUCUGUGUAGGAGAAACAUUUUUAAGAGUAAACCUAAACACUCUGCGUGAUACGAUUUUUG